GGGCCCGCACAAGCAGUGGAGUAUGUGGUUUAAUUCGACGCAACGCGAAGAACCUUACCAAGUCUUGACAUCCUGUGACGCAUGCAGAGAUGCAUGCUUCCUUCGGGACACAGAGACAGGUGGUGCAUGGUUGUCGUCAGCUCGUGUCGUGAGAUGUUGGGUUAAGUCCCGCAACGAGCGCAACCCUUAUGCUUAGUUACUACGCAAGAGGACUCUAAGCAGACCGCCGUUGACAAAACGGAGGAAGGUGGGGAUGACGUCAAAUCAUCAUGCCCUUUAUGACUUGGGCUACACACGUACUACAAUGGCGUUAAACAAAGCGAAGCGAAGCCGCGAGGUGGAGCAAAACGCAUAAACAACGUCUCAGUUCAGACUGCAGGCUGCAACUCGCCUGCACGAAGUCGGAAUUGCUAGUAAUCGCGGAUCAGCAUGCCGCGGUGAAUACGUUCCCGGGCCUU
RNAcentral lists this ribosomal RNA (458 nucleotides) under uncultured bacterium. Its description in RNAcentral is "bacterial SSU rRNA". It matches the Rfam family "Bacterial small subunit ribosomal RNA", at positions 917 to 1382 of the family's 1533-position model. The record is from RNAcentral.